UACGGAGGGGGCUAGCGUUGUUCGGAAUUACUGGGCGUAAAGCGCGCGUAGGCGGACCUGCAAGUCGGGGGUGAAAGCCCGAGGCUCAACCUCGGAACUGCCUUCGAUACUGCGGGUCUCGAGUCCGGGAGAGGUGAGUGGAAUUCCCGGUGUAGCGGUGAAAUGCGCAGAUAUCGGGAGGAACACCUAUGGCGAAGGCAGCUCGCUGGGACGUUACUGACGCUGAGACGCGAAAGCGUGGGGAGCGAACAGG
RNAcentral lists this ribosomal RNA (253 nucleotides) under uncultured bacterium. Its description in RNAcentral is "partial 16S ribosomal RNA". It matches the Rfam family "Bacterial small subunit ribosomal RNA", at positions 524 to 776 of the family's 1533-position model. The record is from RNAcentral.